GUGUGAUGGGGUGGCCUUCUGCAUCCAACCUAAGAUGGCUCUGCAGGAGUGCUAUCUACAAAUAUACAUUUCACAAGAUGCAUCUCCUGAAAGAUUCUCUGCCUGCAAAAUAAAAGAAAACAGCAAAAAUAGCCCAAAGUCCUGGAACAACUUUUUCUAUUACUGGACAUCCCCCUGAGCUCAAGUAGAUUUCCUGCCCAGACACAGAGUGAAUUACGGCCAAGCUCUAGGCAGCUGACCUUGUGGUCAGCCAGAGCACAGGCUUGCUAAUAAAUGUGGUCAGCCCCUACCGCAAACAGCC
This is a non-coding RNA of Lonchura striata (white-rumped munia), 301 nucleotides long. NCBI's taxonomy places the organism in Eukaryota, Metazoa, Chordata, Aves, Passeriformes, Estrildidae. The record is from RefSeq and is a predicted model, not a curated record.